This 77-nucleotide transfer RNA is filed under the name Candidatus Altimarinota bacterium. Its description in RNAcentral is "tRNA-Arg". It matches the Rfam family "tRNA". Rfam says of the family: Transfer RNA (tRNA) molecules are approximately 80 nucleotides in length. Their secondary structure includes four short double-helical elements and three loops (D, anti-codon, and T loops). The record is from RNAcentral. Lineage: Bacteria; Candidatus Altimarinota.
GCACCCGUAGCUCAAUUGGAUAGAGUAGCGGUCUUCGAAGCCGUUGGUUACUGGUUCGACUCCAGUCGGGUGCACCA